AAAAGUUACUCAAGCGCGCACAAAGGAUGCCUUGACGUAAGAUACCGAUGAAGGACGUGAGGAGCUGCGAUAAGCUUCGGGGAGCUGCUAACUAAGCUUUGAGCCGAAGAUGUC
RNAcentral lists this ribosomal RNA (114 nucleotides) under Patescibacteria group bacterium. RNAcentral describes it as "partial 23S ribosomal RNA". It matches the Rfam family "Bacterial large subunit ribosomal RNA", at positions 1 to 114 of the family's 2925-position model. The record is from RNAcentral.